GAGCGGCGGACGGCUGAGUAACACGUAGGAAUGUACCCCAAAGUGAGGCAUAAGCACCGGAAACGGUGUCUAAUACCGCAUGUGCUCUAAGGAGUAAAGCUUUCGAGCGCUUUGGGAACGGCCUGCGCAUGAUUAGCUAGUUGGUGAGGUAAUAGCUCACCAAGGCGACGAUCAUUAGCUGGUCUGAGAGGAUGAUCAGCCAGACUGGGACUGAGACACGGCCCAGACUCCUACGGGAGGCAGCAGUAGGGAAUUUUCCACAAUGGGCGAAAGCCUGAUGGAGCAACGCCGCGUGCAGGAUGAACCCCUUCGGGGCGUAAACUGCUUUUAUAGGUGAAGAUUAUGACGGUAACUUAUGAAUAAGGAUCGGCUAACUCCGUGCCAGCAGCCGCGGUCAUACGGAGGAUCCAAGCGUUAUCCGGAAUUACUGGGCGUAAAGAGUUGCGUAGGCGGUUAAGUAAGUAAUGUGUGAAACUGUGUGGCUCAACCAUGCAUCCAUACGUUAAACUACUUUGACUAGAGAAUGGAAGAGGUCGCUAGAAUUCCUGGUGUAGGGGUGAAAUCCGUAGAUAUCAGGAGGAAUACCGAUGGCGUAGGCAGGCGACUGGUCCAUUUCUGACGCUGAGGCACGAAAGCGUGGGGAGCGAUCGGGAUUAGAUACCCCGGUAGUCCACGCCGUAAACGAUGGAUGCUAGCUGUGUGGAGUAUCGACCCUCUGCGUAGCGAAGCUAACGCGUUAAGCAUCCCGCCUGUGGAGUACGAGCGCAAGCUUAAAACAUAAAGGAAUUGACGGGGACCCGCACAAGCGGUGGAGCGUGUUGUUUAAUUCGAUGGUAAGCGAAGAACCUUACCCAGGUUUGACAUCCUACUAAUUCUUCCGAAAGGAAGAAGUGCCUUCGGGCCGUAGUGACAGGUGAUGCAUGGCCGUCGUCAGCUCGUGUCGUGAGAUGUUUGGUUAAGUCCAUCAACGAGCGCAACCCUUAUAGUUAGUUGGAUUUUUCUAGCUAGACUGCCUCGGUAACGGGGAGGAAGGAGGGGAUGACGUCAGGUCAGUAUUUCCCUUACAUCUGGGGCUACAAACACGCUACAAUGGCCGGUACAAAGGGCUGCCAACCCGCGAGGGGGAGCAAAUCCCAUCAAAGCCGGUCUCAGUUCGGAUAGCAGGCUGAAACUCGCCUGCUUGAAGCUGGAAUCGCUAGUAACGGUAGGUCAGCACACUACCGUGAAUACGUUCCCGGGUCUUGCA
This 1246-nucleotide ribosomal RNA is filed under the name uncultured bacterium. RNAcentral describes it as "bacterial SSU rRNA". It matches the Rfam family "Bacterial small subunit ribosomal RNA", at positions 93 to 1385 of the family's 1533-position model. The record is from RNAcentral.